Molecule: small nuclear RNA, 104 nt
Organism: Otolemur garnettii (small-eared galago)
Lineage: Eukaryota; Metazoa; Chordata; Mammalia; Primates; Galagidae
Source: Ensembl
GUGCUUGUUGUGCAGCACAUAUGCUAAGGUUGGAAUAAUAUAAAUAACAUUAGCAUGGGCCCUGUGCAAGGGUAACACACAGUCACCAAAUGUUCCCUAUUUUU